GGGGGCUACGAUGCACUAGAACAAACGGCUCGCAUCAAAAUGUGCGCAAAGAAGAGAGGAAGAAGAAAUUGAAGGGUUCGGGCUGUAUAGCUCACCGAGGUGACGACGGCGAGCGAAAAACGGCCGGCGACCAAAGCAAUUCCGCCGAGAUAUUCUCCGGCGUGGGCACGAGUGGAGUGAGGGGGGUGCGGGGGAAAAGUGAGAGGGGGAGGGGCUCUUUAUACUGACGCGAGAGAGAGUCUUAAACACGCGCCCUAAAUUGCGAAUUGAAGACGAGGCUUAAUGGAGGUGCUCCCUGGAUUCUCGGCCAGAGCUUGAAGACGACCUGACAGGUGGGUCCCACCUGUCAGUGUUCGUUGGCUGCGGGCGGCGGCUGGCUGGGCUGGCUCGCGGGCGCGCGCGAGGAUUGAUUGGGCCGAUUCGGCCCUAGUUGGCCCGGCGGUCCGUUUUCCUUUUUUUUUGUUCUUUUCUUUUUUCUGUUUUUUCUUUAUAACUUUUGAUUUUGAACUCCAAAUGCACUCAAAUAAAUUCCAGAAAAUUUGUAAAAUCAUAUCUUUUAAUGCCAUAGCAUCUGGGACUUGAUUUCUUCCAAAAGUAAAUUAUUAAAAAUAGUUUUGCUCAUAUAAUUGCCUCUAGUGCAAUAAUAUUAGAAACAAAAUAGUUUUUCAACUCCAAAAUAAAUUCCAAAAAUUAUGGGGUAGCUCAUCUUAUGGAUUAAAACCCCUUUCUAUUGUUUUCAAAAAUUCCAAAAUUAAAAGGGCAACAGGCUUGAUAAAAGGUUUUAAAAUUUAAAACUUUGGUUUAAAGGUGCUCAAAGUGCAUAAAUGGUAUGAUGCUCAUGAGUGCAAAUGCAUGAUGCAAAGUUUGGGAAAAUUGGAAUGUUAUAGACCUAACCCUCUUAAGAUGAAUCUCGUCCCCGAAAUUCUGAUUGGCUAGCA
RNAcentral lists this long non-coding RNA (938 nucleotides) under Brachypodium distachyon (stiff brome). RNAcentral's name for it is "long non-coding RNA (BDIS_LNC003362)". Lineage: Eukaryota; Viridiplantae; Streptophyta; Magnoliopsida; Poales; Poaceae. The record is from RNAcentral.